Molecule: ribosomal RNA, 643 nt
Filed under: Galeandra santarena
Lineage: Eukaryota; Viridiplantae; Streptophyta; Magnoliopsida; Asparagales; Orchidaceae
Description: eukaryotic LSU rRNA
Rfam family: 5.8S ribosomal RNA (bases 229-384)
Source: RNAcentral
AUAGACCGAGCGACUCAGAGAACACGUGUAUCGAGCGACGACAGCUGUCGUCGUGGGAUGGCCGGCCCGGUCGUCGCCCUCAUCUCCUGAUGGGUAGUGCGGGGCACGGCCAGGGACGGAUGAAAGCAAAAACCGGCGCAGCAUCGCGUCAAGGAAUAAUUCAAAGGCACGAGCCCCGCGUGGGGCUCGGUGGCGUGGGGUGCUUCGGCACGUUGCGCGGUUGGACAUGACUCUCGGCAAUGGAUAUCUCGGCUCUCGCAUCGAUGAAGAGCGCAGCGAAAUGCGAUACGUGGUGCGAAUUGCAGAAUCCCGCGAACCAUCGAGUCUUUGAACGCAAGUUGCGCCCGAGGCCGUCAGGCCAAGGGCACGUCCGCCUGGGCGUCAAGCGUUGCGUCGCUCCGUGCCACAGCUCUGACCGCAUCGCAGUGUGGAGUUUGAGGCUCGGAUGUGCAGAGUGGCUCGUCGUGCCCAUCAGUGCGACGGGUUGAAGAAAGGGCAACGUCUCGCAGGCCGCGAACAACAAGGGGUGGGUGAAUGCUGCGAGCACAACCUGCGUUGUCUCGUGUUGGCCCGAGAGAUGGAUCGCGCCUUCAAGGUGAUCCCGACCCAUGCACCGAUCCGCAUGCGGGCGGUGUCUUGGAAU